CAAGAAAUAGUUUAAUUAAAAUUAUGGCUUUGGAAGCUAUAGAUGAGGUAACUCUUUCUUGA
This 62-nucleotide transfer RNA is filed under the name Chaleponcus netus. RNAcentral describes it as "tRNA-Pro". The record is from RNAcentral. Lineage: Eukaryota; Metazoa; Arthropoda; Diplopoda; Spirostreptida; Odontopygidae.